Molecule: small RNA, 914 nt
Filed under: Olea europaea subsp. europaea
Lineage: Eukaryota; Viridiplantae; Streptophyta; Magnoliopsida; Lamiales; Oleaceae
Source: RNAcentral
CCCCACACUUUCACCCGAUUCCUCUUUCACAACCACUUUCUUGCCGCCGGCACCUCUAAUCACCAUCAUGCCACCACUUCAUUAUCUAUUGUACUCAGGCAUCCAAAGCACUACCGCUUCAUCGCCAUAGGCCACCACCACCAACCCAAGAUCAUACAUUUCCACCACAGUUACCACACUCAUAUAUUUCCUCGUCCAUCUCAACAAUCUAAAAGCCACAGUUACCACACUAACUUUUACGUUCACACAAGAACCAGCACAAGUUACAGUCAACAGGGGCUAAAACCAUUGGACACCAAGGGAAGAACAGAAGCAUAGUUGGGGCUCAUAAGUCGGCAAUUCAGAUCAAUCGGCAUACAAAUAAUCAAAACUAAACAACAGGGAGUCCUUGAUCUCUAUUUAGUAUUAAUUUAUACUACUGCUUCAUUUUUAAAAUUGCAUCAAUUAAAAUCUUGUGCUGCUGUUAUCGUGAUAAUUUUAGCCUUAAACCCCACUUGAUCGAAACCAUUAAUCGAAUUGACACUAGUGACCGAAUUGACUUCCAUUGUUCCCCACUUAAAUUGAUUGGAGAAUUUGACUAGUGUGUUGACCCUUGCAUUGCCAUUCUACAUGUACAAGAAGUGUUAGCUUGUUUUGGAUUUAAUUAAUCCCAAUAUUUAAAAUUAAAUAAAAAUAAAAAAUUGGUACAAGUUAUUUUCCAUUGCUUGUACGUAUUGUUCACUGAUCUCAUCAUAACACGUCAUUUAGCUGGUAUUACAUUGCAUGUAGUGGCGUAGUGGUCGUCUUGUCGUCUCUAUUUCCAAUACAUUGACCAUGGAUCCAUCCCAAUUUGAUGCACUUACUAGACAAUUAACGCAACUCGCCACUUGCCUAUCGACUGUCCAAUCAGAUAUAACUGCUACUCGUGAGGAGAG